RNAcentral lists this long non-coding RNA (1031 nucleotides) under Oryctolagus cuniculus (rabbit). RNAcentral describes it as "lncRNA (ENSOCUG00000031938.1)". Lineage: Eukaryota; Metazoa; Chordata; Mammalia; Lagomorpha; Leporidae. The record is from RNAcentral.
AUAUUUUCAUUCCUCUGUUUCUGUCUUACAUUUUUUUUUUACAGGCAGAGUGGACAGUGAGAGAAAGAGACAGAGAGAAAGGUCUUCCUUUUCCGUCGGUUCACCCCACAAUGGCUACUGCGGCCUGCACGCUGCGGCUGGUGCACUGCACCGAUCCGAAGCCAGGAGCCAGGUGCUUCUCCUGGUCUUCUAUGUGGGUUCAGGGCCCAAGGAGUUGGGCCAUCCUCCACUACACUCCUGGGCCAUAGCAGAGAGCUGGACAGGAAGAGGAACAACCGGGACAGAAUCCAGCACCCCAACCAGGACUAGAACCCGGUGUGCCAGCACUGCAGACAGAGGAGUAGCCUAUUGAGCCGCGGCGCCGGCCAUGUCUUACAUUUUUUAAAUAAGUGAUUAUUUUGUAACAUAAAAAUAGUAGUCCACAAUCAAGUUUUAAAAUAAAUCUGUAAAAUCUGAAAAAAAUAGUAUCAUCACCAGUUCUUCAUAGUUUUGUGUGUUUGUGCUUCCUGGAUGGUAGCAUGGCAUGAGUCUGCUCAAGUGAUCUUCACAGUUAACCUUGUGAAGUUUCUCUUAUCCAGUUCUGAGAGGAGGCUACCAAAGCUCAGAGACCAUGGGGCAUUGUGCACAGUCAUGAGGCUAGUACGGGGCCGGGCCAUAGAACUUGCACUCAUUUACCUGCACUGUCUACUCUUGUCAUGAAUGUGGGAAUGGGGGUUCCCUUUGUUACUUGCUGAGAAUAUAUCAGAAAAGGGUGGUGGGGGGAGGAGGGGGAGAAGGAAAUGGCUAGGCUGGUAUGUUAGACUCAAGGCCAUGAGCAUGUAUUCACAUAUCUGUACAAAUGCAUAUUUUUUUCACCAAACUACAUCAUCAAAUAUGUUAAAUAGUCAACUCCUAAAUCCAAUUCAUUAAUUAUCUCGCUUAAAAUAUACUUCAAAUGUAUCACAUUUGACAUCAUAUGUCACUGAUCCUAGAUGGAAAUGAUAACACUUAAAAUCAAUAAAUGUUUUAAAUUUAUUUUGCUUAUUAUGGUU